Molecule: ribosomal RNA, 926 nt
Filed under: uncultured bacterium
Lineage: Bacteria
Description: bacterial SSU rRNA
Rfam family: Bacterial small subunit ribosomal RNA
Source: RNAcentral
AGAGUUUGAUCAUGGCUCAGAACGAACGCUGGCGGCGUGCCUAACACAUGCAAGUCGAACGUGAUUGAGGAGCUUGCUCUUCAUGAAAGUGGCGCACGGGUGAGUAACGCGUAGAUAAUCUGCCUGGUGAUCCGGGAUGACACUUCGAAAGGGGUGCUAAUACCUGAUAAGCCCACGGGGUCUUUGGACUCUGCGGGAAAAGGGGGGGACCUUAGGGCCUUCUGUCACCAGAUGAGUCUGCGUACCAUUAGCUAGUUGGUAGGGUAAAGGCCUACCAAGGCUACGAUGGUUAGCUGGUCUGAGAGGAUGAUCAGCCACACUGGAACUGAGACACGGUCCAGACUCCUACGGGAGGCAGCAGUGGGGAAUUUUGCGCAAUGGGGGAAACCCUGACGCAGCAACGCCGCGUGAGUGAUGAAGGCCCUUGGGUCGUAAAGCUCUGACAGAGGGAAAGAAAUGUGGGUGGCUAAUAUCCAUACCACUUGACGGUACCCUCAAAGGAAGCACCGGCUAACUCCGUGCCAGCAGCCGCGGUAAUACGGGGGGUGCAAGCGUUGUUCGGAUUUAUUGGGCGUAAAGCGCGUGUAGGCGGUUUUGUAAGUCUGAUGUGAAAGCCCUGGGCUCAACCUGGGAAGUGCAUUGGAUACUGUAAGACUUGAAUACGGGAGAGGGGAGUGGAAUUCCUGGUGUAGGAGUGAAAUCCGUAGAUAUCAGGAGGAACACCGGUGGCGAAGGCGGCUCCCUGGACCGAUAUUGACGCUGAGACGCGAAAGCGUGGGUAGCAAACAGGAUUAGAUACCCUGGUAGUCCACGCCGUAAACGAUGAGAACUAGGUGUUGCGGGUAUUGACCCCUGCAGUGCCGCAGCUAACGCAUUAAGUUCUCCGCCUGGGAAGUACGGUCGCAGACUAAAACUCAAAGGAAUUG